This 322-nucleotide ribosomal RNA is filed under the name uncultured eukaryote. Its description in RNAcentral is "partial 18S ribosomal RNA". It matches the Rfam family "Eukaryotic small subunit ribosomal RNA", at positions 1470 to 1796 of the family's 1831-position model. The record is from RNAcentral.
CCCUCAGAUGUUCUGGGCCGCACGCGUGCUACACUGAGUAAUUCAAUGGGUAAGGGAACGCUAGAGCAUUACCUAAUCUUGAAAUUUGCUCGUGAUGGGGAUCGACGGUUGCAAUUUUCCGUCGUGAACGAGGAAUACCUUGUAGGCGCAUGUCAUCAUCAUGCGCCGAAUACGUCCCUGCCCUUUGUACACACCGCCCGUCGCUCCUACCGAUUGAGUGAUCCGGUGAGGCUCUGGGACCUGGACGGAAAGAGCGUUUCGCUUGUUCUGUUUGGGAAACUUGGUCGAACCUUAUCAUUUAGAGGAAGGAGAAGUCGUAACA